GGGCGCUUGUGAGGAUCACUGUUCAAAGGAGGUCAUUUAUGACCUCAUUAUUACUCAGGCACUCCCUGGGGCAGCUGUACAGCUACCACUGGGAAAAUCUCCUCUCCAAGGUUCCCUGUGAGGGAAGCCAAAAUGACCAGCCUUGAAAAUACAGGAAAGCCUUAACAAGCUGGCUAGCCUUGGAAGUUAGGAAGACCCCAAUAAACAUGAAGCUGCAGUAGGUACCAGAUAAAGGCCAGGAAGACCCCAAUAAACAUGCCAAACCCCAGAUGCAGUAGGUCUUCCUUGGUGGUGGGUGAAAUCCUGGACCUUAACAUUUGGGGGCUCGCCCAUACCCCCCACCUUGGAACCCCACGGACAGGAGGGCCUAAGGCACUGCCUUGGACCAGACCUUCAGGGAGGGAUUGGGUGGCUGACCGCUGGCUGCAGGCCCCUGACAGACAGCCGGAGGCAGUCGGAGAUAGCCGGAGAUAGCCAAAAGCAUCCGGCCACUGAGGAGUAAUUGCUGGCAUCAGGUUUCUUCACUGAUUAAAACCAAGCUGUUUUGAGCAUUUGUAAAACCUUUCCUUGCAACUUCUUGGUCUCAACAAUUGAAAAUCAGCCUGCUUGUCAAACACAUAAGAAAUGAGAUCUUAAGAUAAGCUCCUAGGAUCGGGGUAGUUUACGUGUCCGUGUCUCUGUUGUUUGUCUUCUGGCUUUUGCUGUUUGUCUCGUGUGUCUUUCUGUAUUUGGACGCAGGUAUGUGGAUGUGUGGGAGAGGGUGUCCUAUAGGGUUCUUUGAGUCUUUGUUGUGGCUGGAUUAACGGGAAAAAAAAGGGGGGGAGUUUGGGAUGCAGGGUCACAAAGGAGAAUAGAUUUUGCACCCCUGCUCCCUCUGCCUGUGUUCCAACCAGGCAGGCUAUGAUGAAAUAACACUGUGCCUGCUCCUGCAGCAGGCUUCAGGGCAGGAGAGAGUGCAAUUACCACCCGUUCAAUGAUUUUUCCCUCCUUCUCCCUUUGGAUGGGUCCCCAAAGGAGCGGAAGAGAGAAAAUUCUGAACAGAAAAGGGAGAUUCUUACUCCACAGUUAGAAACCUUCACUUAAAAUUAAUUCUCAACUUGGGUGGAUUGCUAAUGAUUUUGAUAUGGUACAAAUGUAAUGUAUUACAACAAAACUCCUGAUUAGAAGUUUGCUUUGUUAAACCUUGCAAUGCAUAAUGGUUUCAGUGAAUUUUAGAAUUGUCUAAAUGUGAUUGAUAACAAGCCUGAC
This 1248-nucleotide long non-coding RNA is filed under the name Monodelphis domestica (gray short-tailed opossum). RNAcentral's name for it is "lncRNA (ENSMODG00000035681.2)". The record is from RNAcentral. Lineage: Eukaryota; Metazoa; Chordata; Mammalia; Didelphimorphia; Didelphidae.